AUGGGAGAAACAAAUAAUGCAAGAGCUGAUGGUGGAGUCAAGGGUGGAGAAGAGGAAGAGAAAGGCAGGAAGAAGAUGACCAAGGGUGGUAAGGCGUCGUUCCAUGACCUGUUCAAGAACGCGGACGCCACUGAUGUGGUGCUGAUGCUGGUUGGCACAGUCGCCGCGCUUGCGAGCGGCAUGUCACAGGUGGUCAUGUCGAUCAUCUUCGGGCGGAUGGUAGAUGCCUUUGGAGGUGCCACCCGGGGCACCAUCCUUCCCCGAGUUGACAAGGUGGUUCUAGAGUUUGUCUACUUAGCAAUUGGAACAUGGCCUGCUUGUUUUCUCCAGAUAUCAUGCUGGACCGUGACUGGGGAGAGGCAGGCAGCUCGCUUUCGAUCUUUGUAUCUCAAGUCGGUUUUGAGACAAGACAUGGCAUUCUUUGAUACAGAAAUCAAAGGUGGACAGGUAGUGUUCGGUACAUCUGCUGACACAAUACUAAUUCAAGAUGCGAUUGGUGAGAAGGUAGGGAAGUUUCUACAGCUUCUUACCACUUUCAUUGGUGGGUUCACGGUGGCAUUUAUCAAAGGCUGGCUCCUAACCCUUGUAAUGCUUUCUACUAUACCACCACUAAUCGUUGCAGCUGCAAUCGUCUCAAAGAUGCUUUCCAAAGUAUCUAGCGAGGGCCUAGCAUCAUACAUCGAUGCAGGAAAUAUUGUAGAACAGACAAUUGGAUCCAUAAGAACGGUGGUUUCAUUCAAUGGCGAAAAGAAAGCAAUGGACCAGUACAACAAUCUCAUAAAGAAGGCAUACAAGGGUACGAUCAAGGAAGGGGCUAUUCAAGGUUUUGGCCUGGGUUUCCUUUCUUUGGUCUAUUUCUCCAGCUUUGGACUAAUUGUAUGGUAUGGCAGUAAGUUAACCCUUGACAGAGGAUAUAGUGGAGCAGAUGUCAUGAACAUAUUGUUUGCUGUCCUUGUAGGAGCAAGAGCAUUGGGUGAUGCAACCCCCUGCAUUGCUUCCUUUGACGAAGGAAGAGUUGCCGCAUACAGAUUGUUUACAACAAUCAACAGGAAACCAGAGAUUGACUAUGAUGAUACUACUGGUGUUGUGUUAGAAGACAUCAAAGGUGAUGUAGAGCUGAGGGAUGUGUCUUUCAGUUACCCAAGCAGGCCAGAGCAACUAAUAUUUGAUGGAUUUUCAAUGCAUGUAUCAAGCGGCACAACAAUGGCCAUAGUUGGGGAGAGUGGGAGUGGCAAAACAACAGUCAUUAAUUUAGUUGAGAGAUUUUAUGAUCCACAGGCUGGCGAAGUGUUGAUCGAUGGAAUGAACAUCAAAAGUUUCAAGCUAGAAUGGAUGAGAGGGAAGAUUGGCCUUGUUAACCAGGAACCAGUACUCUUCAUGACAUCUAUAAAGGAGAACAUAGCCUACGGAAAAGAGGAUGCAACAUUGGAGGAGAUCAAGAAAGCAGCCGAGCUUGCAAACGCGGCAAGAUUCAUUGAAAAUUUGCCUAAUGGUUAUGAUACAGCAGUUGGACAACGUGGUGCCCAGCUUUCAGGGGGGCAGAAGCAAAGGAUUGCGGUUGCGAGAGCCAUCCUAAAAAAUCCGAAAAUCCUUUUGCUCGACGAAGCGACUAGUGCAUUGGAUUUAGAGUCUGAGAGGGUUGUCCAAGAAGCACUAAGCAACAUCAUGGUUGGGAGAACCACGAUUGUCGUGGCACAUCGUUUGAGCACUGUUAGAAAUGCCCACUGCAUAUCAGUUGUUUCUGGAGGAAAAAUAGUCGAACAAGGACAUCAUGAUAAAUUGGUAAAGGAUCCUGACGGAGCAUACUCUCAACUUAUUCGGAUACAAGAGACACACCAAGAAACUUGCGAGCAGUUAAAUGCUGGAUUAUCAAGCCCGUUAUCUAAAAGAAAUCAAGCACAAUCAAUUAGUACAAGUUCAGCUGGGAGCAGCCAUCAUUCUGUAAUUCCCCCUGUCAACUUGCCUGGCCCUACUGCAUUACUUGAUUAUGAUGGUGCAGAUGGUGAGAAAGCAAGCGAGAAAACAGAUGUCAAGGUUUCCAAGAAGGCCCCAAUGGGACGCUUAAUUAGCCUAAACAGACCAGAGACGGCAUUUCUUCUAUUUGGUUCUCUUGCGGCAGCAAUUGAUGGAACUGUCUACCCAAUGAUGGGUUUGGUAAUGGCUAGUGCUGCUAAAACAUUCUAUGAAUUACCAGCAGACAAGCGACAGGAAGAUUCUAUCUUUUGGGGAUUGCUGUGUAUUGGGCUGGGUGCAAUGGGUAUGAUAUCAAAGCUAGCAAAUAGCCUUCUAUUUGCAAUAGCUGGUGGGAAACUUAUAGAACGCAUUCGCGCUUUCACAUUUAAAAACAUAGUGUACCAAGAUGCUGCUUGGUUUGAUCAUCCUGCAAAUUCUAGUGGAGCACUUGGUGGAAGGUUAUGUGUUGAUGCCCUUAAUGUGAGACGCCUUGUAGGGGGUAACUUGGCCUUAAUAAUCCAAUGUACUGCAACACUUAUUUGUGGAAUAGUAAUAGCUAUGAUUGCAGACUGGAAGCUUUCGUUGGUCAUCUUAAUUGUAGUUCCUUUAAUGGGUCUCCAGGCUUAUGCUCAAGUGAAGUUCCUACAAGGGUUUAGUCAAGAUGCUAAGACCAUGUACGAAGAAGCAAGUCAAGUGGCAACUGACGCAGUUGGUAACAUGAGAACAGUGGCCUCUUUUUGUGCCGAGAAGAGAGUGGUGACAAAAUACAAUCAGAAAUGCCAAGCUUCUAAAAACCAAGGAAUUCGAACAGGAAUAGUUGGAGGCAUUGGUUUUGGUUUCUCAUAUACGAUGCUAUAUGUCACGUCUGCUCUAUGUUACUAUGUUGGUGCGAAGUUUAUUAGUCAAGGCAACUCCGAUUUUGGCGGCGUCUUCAAGGCUUACUUUGCUCUGGUUUUGGCCAUGAUUGGAGCAUCACAAACUAGUGCUAUGGCUUCUGAUUCAGCCAAGGCAAAUGAUUCUGCAACUUCCAUAUUCAAAAUCUUAGAUAGAAAAUCCCAAAUCGAUUCCAGCAGCGAAGAGGGUUCUACCAUGGAGCUUGUCAAGGGUGACAUUGAUUUUAUGCAUAUCAGCUUCAAAUACCCAUCCCGUCCAGAUGUUCAAAUAUUCAGCGAUUUCACCUUGAACAUUCCCUCUAGAAAGACUGUUGCGCUUGUUGGUCAAAGUGGCAGCGGCAAAUCUACAGUAAUUGCUUUACUAGAGCGUUUCUAUGAUCCAGAUUCUGGUGCGAUCUUAUUGGAUGGAGUGGAAAUCAAAAACCUAAAGCUGAGUUGGUUGAGGGACCAGAUGGGAUUGGUAAGCCAAGAACCAGUCCUUUUCAACGACACAAUACGAGCCAACAUAGCGUAUGGAAAGCAUGAAGAGGUAACCGAGGAAGAGAUUGCUGCAGCUGCUAAAGCAGCCAAUGCCCAUGAGUUCAUAUCGAGCAUGCCACAGGGGUACAACACGUCAGUUGGAGAGAGAGGGACCCAACUGUCCGGUGGGCAGAAACAGCGCAUAGCUAUUGCAAGGGCUAUUCUGAAGGACCCACGGAUACUGCUUCUGGAUGAGGCAACAAGUGCGUUAGAUGCAGAGUCAGAGAGCGCCGUUCAAGACGCAUUGGACCGCGUGAUGCUUGGGAGGACAACUGUCACCGUGGCACACCGCCUCUCGACGAUCCAGGGGGCUGAUAUAAUUGCAGUUCUGAAGGACGGCGCAAUCGUGGAGAAAGGAACGCAUGAGACCCUGAUGGGCAUCGCGGGCGGGGCAUAUGCUUCGCUUCUAGAACUUCGCCCCAAUGCAACAUAA
This 3798-nucleotide ribosomal RNA is filed under the name Triticum aestivum (bread wheat). RNAcentral's name for it is "partial small subunit ribosomal RNA". Lineage: Eukaryota; Viridiplantae; Streptophyta; Magnoliopsida; Poales; Poaceae. The record is from RNAcentral.